Molecule: transfer RNA, 73 nt
Filed under: Ailuropoda melanoleuca (giant panda)
Lineage: Eukaryota; Metazoa; Chordata; Mammalia; Carnivora; Ursidae
Rfam family: tRNA
About the family: Transfer RNA (tRNA) molecules are approximately 80 nucleotides in length. Their secondary structure includes four short double-helical elements and three loops (D, anti-codon, and T loops). Further hydrogen bonds mediate the characteristic L-shaped molecular structure. tRNAs have two regions of fundamental functional importance: the anti-codon, which is responsible for specific mRNA codon recognition, and the 3' end, to which the tRNAs corresponding amino acid is attached (by aminoacyl-tRNA synthetases). tRNAs cope with the degeneracy of the genetic code in two manners: having more than one tRNA (with a specific anti-codon) for a particular amino acid; and 'wobble' base-pairing, i.e. permitting non-standard base-pairing at the 3rd anti-codon position.
Source: Rfam by way of RNAcentral
GCCUGACUGGCUCAGUCGGUAGAGCAUGCCACUCUUGAACUCAGGGUCAUGAGUUUGAGCCCCAUGUCAGGUG